This 487-nucleotide ribosomal RNA is filed under the name uncultured Micrococcus sp. RNAcentral's name for it is "partial 16S ribosomal RNA". The record is from RNAcentral. Lineage: Bacteria; Bacillati; Actinomycetota; Actinomycetes; Micrococcales; Micrococcaceae.
CACGUAGUUAGCCGGUGCUUCUUCUGCAGGUACCGUCACUUUCGCUUCUUCCCCACUGAAAGAGGUUUACAACCCGAAGGCCGUCAUCCCUCACGCGGCGUCGCUGCAUCAGGCUUUCGCCCAUUGUGCAAUAUUCCCCACUGCUGCCUCCCGUAGGAGUCUGGGCCGUGUCUCAGUCCCAGUGUGGCCGGUCACCCUCUCAGGCCGGCUACCCGUCGUCGCCUUGGUGAGCCAUUACCUCACCAACAAGCUGAUAGGCCGCGAGUCCAUCCAUGACCGAUAAAUCUUUCCAACAACCACCAUGCGGUGGACGUUCCUAUCCGGUAUUAGACCCAGUUUCCCAGGCUUAUCCCAGAGUCAAGGGCAGGUUACUCACGUGUUACUCACCCGUUCGCCACUAAUCCACCCAGCAAGCUGGGCUUCAUCGUUCGACUUGCAUGUGUUAAGCACGCCGCCAGCGUUCAUCCUGAGCCAGGAUACAAACUCU